RNAcentral lists this ribosomal RNA (253 nucleotides) under uncultured bacterium. RNAcentral describes it as "partial 16S ribosomal RNA". It matches the Rfam family "Bacterial small subunit ribosomal RNA", at positions 524 to 776 of the family's 1533-position model. The record is from RNAcentral.
UACAGAGGGUGCAAGCGUUGUUCGGAAUUAUUGGGCGUAAAGCGCGUGUAGGCGGCUUUGCAAGUCGGGUGUGAAAGCCCUCGGCUCAACCGAGGAAGUGCGCCCGAAACUGCAGAGCUUGAGUACCGGAGAGGAUGGCGGAAUUCCCCAAGUAGAGGUGAAAUUCGUAGAUAUGGGGAGGAACACCAGUGGCGAAGGCGACUACCUGGCCUGUUCUUGACGCUGAGGCGCGAAAGCUAGGGGAGCAAACGGG